GAUGAAGAACGUAGUGAAAUGCGAUACUUGGUGUGAAUUGCAGAAUCCCGUGAACCAUCGAGUCUUUGAACGCAAGUUGUGCCCGAAGCCAUUAGGCCGAGGGCACGCCUGCCUGGGCGUCACACGUCGUUGCCCCCCCAUCUACUCCUUCGGGAUUGCGGGGGGCGGAUGAUGGCCUCCCGUGCGCCUCGUCGCGCGGUUGGCAUAAAUGCCAAGUCCUCGGCGACGCACGCCACGACAAUCGGUGGUUGCGAAACCUCGGUUGCCCGUCGUGUGCGGUCGUCGCGCAUCGAGGGCUCGAAAAAAUUGUCGGGCUCCGGCUCGGCUUUCAACGCGACCCCAGGUCAGGCGGGGUUACCCGCUGAAUUUAAGCAUAUCAAUAAGCGGAGGA
Molecule: unclassified non-coding RNA, 391 nt
Filed under: soil metagenome
Description: partial contains 5.8S ribosomal RNA, internal transcribed spacer 2, and large subunit ribosomal RNA
Rfam family: 5.8S ribosomal RNA (bases 1-122)
Source: RNAcentral